UGCGUAGGCGGCGCGGUAAGUCGGGUGUGAAAUCUCGGAGCUUAACUCCGAAACUGCAUUCGAUACUGCCGUGCUUGAGGACUGGAGAGGAGACUGGAAUUUACGGUGUAGCGGUGAAAUGCGUAGAUAUCGUAAGGAAGACCAGUGGCGAAGGCGGGUCUCUGGACAGUUCCUGACGCUGAGGCACGAAGGUAGGGAGGCAAACG
RNAcentral lists this ribosomal RNA (206 nucleotides) under uncultured bacterium. RNAcentral describes it as "partial 16S ribosomal RNA". It matches the Rfam family "Bacterial small subunit ribosomal RNA", at positions 568 to 774 of the family's 1533-position model. The record is from RNAcentral.